Molecule: ribosomal RNA, 669 nt
Filed under: Cortinarius fulvescens
Lineage: Eukaryota; Fungi; Basidiomycota; Agaricomycetes; Agaricales; Cortinariaceae
Description: eukaryotic LSU rRNA
Rfam family: Eukaryotic large subunit ribosomal RNA
Source: RNAcentral
GUGACCUCAAAUCAGGUAGGACUACCCGCUGAACUUAAGCAUAUCAAUAAGCGGAGGAAAAGAAACUAACAAGGAUUCCCCUAGUAACUGCGAGUGAAGCGGGAAAAGCUCAAAUUUAAAAUCUGGCAGUCUUUGGCUGUCCGAGUUGUAAUCUAGAGAAGUGCUAUCCGCGCUGGACCGUGUACAAGUCUCCUGGAAUGGAGCGUCAUAGAGGGUGAGAAUCCCGUCUUUGACACGGACUUGCCAGGGCUUUGUGAUGUGCUCUCGAAGAGUCGGGUUGUUUGGGAAUGCAGCUCAAAAUGGGUGGUAAAUUCCAUCUAAAGCUAAAUAUUGGCGAGAGACCGAUAGCGAACAAGUACCGUGAGGGAAAGAUGAAAAGAACUUUGGAAAGAGAGUUAAACAGUACGUGAAAUUGCUGAAAGGGAAACGCUUGAAGUCAGUCGCGUUGUCCAGGGAUCAACCUUGCUUUUGCUUGGUGCACUUUCUGGUUGACGGGUCAGCAUCAAUUUUGACUAUUGGAAAAAGRUUAGGGGAAUGUGACAUCUUUGGAUGUGUUAUAGCCCUUGGUUGCAUACAAUGGUUGGGAUUGAGGAACUCAGCACGCCGCAAGGCCGGGUUUUCAAACCACGUACGUGCUUAGGAUGCUGGCAUAAUGGCUUUAAUCGACCC